AACCCAUGGUGAGGGCAUCUUUGCAAAAAAAUCCUUAUAUCUCUCCCACGCAUCGUAGAGUGUUUCUAAAUCCAUCUGUACAAAAGAAGAGAUAUCAUUACGUAAUUU
This 108-nucleotide small nucleolar RNA is filed under the name Gossypium hirsutum (cotton). Its description in RNAcentral is "Plant small nucleolar RNA R71". It matches the Rfam family "Plant small nucleolar RNA R71". Rfam says of the family: R71 is a member of the C/D box family of snoRNAs containing the C (UGAUGA) and D (CUGA) box motifs. Multiple nearly identical copies of this snoRNA have been identified in Arabidopsis, and it is thought to function as a 2'-O-ribose methylation guide for 18S ribosomal RNA. Lineage: Eukaryota; Viridiplantae; Streptophyta; Magnoliopsida; Malvales; Malvaceae. The record is from Rfam by way of RNAcentral.